Molecule: non-coding RNA, 21 nt
Filed under: Caenorhabditis elegans
Lineage: Eukaryota; Metazoa; Nematoda; Chromadorea; Rhabditida; Rhabditidae
Source: RNAcentral
UAAAAACUUUGGGGCAGCAAA